RNAcentral lists this ribosomal RNA (550 nucleotides) under Colletotrichum gloeosporioides. Its description in RNAcentral is "eukaryotic LSU rRNA". The stretch from base 172 to 325 matches the Rfam family "5.8S ribosomal RNA". The record is from RNAcentral. Lineage: Eukaryota; Fungi; Ascomycota; Sordariomycetes; Glomerellales; Glomerellaceae.
GGGGGAUUUCGCUCUACACCCUUUGUGAACAUACCUACAACUGUUGCUUCGGCGGGUAGGGUCUCCGCGACCCUCCCGGCCUCCCGCCUCCGGGCGGGUCGGCGCCCGCCGGAGGAUAACCAAACUCUGAUUUAACGACGUUUCUUCUGAGUGGUACAAGCAAAUAAUCAAAACUUUUAACAACGGAUCUCUUGGUUCUGGCAUCGAUGAAGAACGCAGCGAAAUGCGAUAAGUAAUGUGAAUUGCAGAAUUCAGUGAAUCAUCGAAUCUUUGAACGCACAUUGCGCCCGCCAGCAUUCUGGCGGGCAUGCCUGUUCGAGCGUCAUUUCAACCCUCAAGCUCUGCUUGGUGUUGGGGCCCUACAGCCGAUGUAGGCCCUCAAAGGUAGUGGCGGACCCUCCCGGAGCCUCCUUUGCGUAGUAACUUUACGUCUCGCACUGGGAUCCGGAGGGACUCUUGCCGUAAAACCCCCCAAUUUUCCAAAGGUUGACCUCGGAUCAGGUAGGAAUACCCGCUGAACUUAAGCAUAUCAAAGGCGGAAGGAAACCGU